GAUGAACGCUGGCGGCGUGCCUAAUACAUGCAAGUCGAGCGAACAGACGAGGAGCUUGCUCCUUCGACGUUAGCGGCGGACGGGUGAGUAACACGUAGGUAACCUACCUAUAAGACUGGGAUAACUUCGGGAAACCGGAGCUAAUACCGGAUAAUAUUUCGAACCGCAUGGUUCGAUAGUGAAAGAUGGCUUUGCUAUCACUUAUAGAUGGACCUGCGCCGUAUUAGCUAGUUGGUAAGGUAACGGCUUACCAAGGCAACGAUACGUAGCCGACCUGAGAGGGUGAUCGGCCACACUGGAACUGAGACACGGUCCAAACUCCUACGGGAGGCAGCAGUAGGAAAUCUUCCGCAAUGGGGGAAAGCCUAACGGAGCAACGCCGCGGGAGUGAUGAGGGACUUCGGAUCGUAAAACUCUGUAUUAGGGAAGAACAAACGUGUAAGUAACUGUGCACGUCUUGACGGUACCUAAUCAGAAAGCCACGGCUAACUACGUG
This 496-nucleotide ribosomal RNA is filed under the name uncultured bacterium. Its description in RNAcentral is "partial 16S ribosomal RNA". It matches the Rfam family "Bacterial small subunit ribosomal RNA", at positions 28 to 507 of the family's 1533-position model. The record is from RNAcentral.